This is a long non-coding RNA of Mauremys mutica (yellowpond turtle), 626 nucleotides long. RefSeq lists it as uncharacterized. The record is from RefSeq and is a predicted model, not a curated record. The transcript is spliced from 3 exons. NCBI's taxonomy places the organism in Eukaryota, Metazoa, Chordata, Testudines, Geoemydidae.
CCUGUGCAUUCUGGGAUGGGGGAGAGCUAGACCAGGAUAGAGCCCUCUGGCUUGGUUUAGUGGGGCCAGUUCUCUGGUCUCAGAGGUGAGGCUGUCCCUGUGCCAGAGCUUGGCUUACCUGGCCUGUCAGGGUUUAAGAAGCAAGCGGAGAAGGCACCACUGAAUUCAGAGACCGCUGUGGCUGCGUGUGCUGUUCUUAGGAUGGCUUGGGUCACCACACUGCUGGUUCUGGUAGCCUGUUGGGCAGGUUCCAGCUACCAGUUAACUUUGACUCAGCCACUCGCUAUGUCAGUGACACCAGGAGAAACUGUCCAACUCGCAUGUGUUCUGAGCAGUGAAGUCAGCAUCAGCGGUAGCUACAUAUGCUGGUACCAGCAGAAGUAAGGGGAGAAACCAAGAUACCUGCAGUAUAUUACAAGGAUGACUCUACCCAGUAUAAAGACUCUGGUGUCCCUGACAGGUUCACUGCCUCUAAAGACACUUCCAGGAACACCUGCUUUUUAACGAUCAGCAGGGCUCAAGCAGAGGACGAUGCUGAUUACUAUUGCACAGACUGGGAUGGCCCAGCUAACCAGUACACAGUGAUACUGCUGCAUGGAGAAGAGGAACAAAACCCCCUCUCACCC